This 497-nucleotide ribosomal RNA is filed under the name uncultured bacterium. Its description in RNAcentral is "partial 16S ribosomal RNA". It matches the Rfam family "Bacterial small subunit ribosomal RNA", at positions 28 to 507 of the family's 1533-position model. The record is from RNAcentral.
GAUGAACGCUGGCGGCGUGCCUAAUACAUGCAAGUCGAGCGAACAGACGAAGAGCUUGCUCCUUUGACGUUAGCGGCGGACGGGUGAGUAACACGUGGAUAACCUACCUAUAAGACUGGGAUAACUUCGGGAAACCGGAGCUAAUACCGGAUAACAUGUUGAACCGCAUGGUUCAACAGUGAAAGACGGUCUUGCUGUCACUUAUAGAUGGAUCCGCGCCGCAUUAGCUAGUUGGUAGGGUAACGGCUUACCAAGGCAACGAUGCGUAGCCGACCUGAGAGGGUGAUCGGCCACACUGGAACUGAGACACGGUCCAGACUCCUACGGGAGGCAGCAGUAGGGAAUCUUCCGCAAUGGGCGAAAGCCUGACGGAGCAACGCCGCGUGAGUGAAGAAGGUCUUCGGAUCGUAAAACUCUGUUAUUAGGGAAGAACAAAUGUGUAAGUAACUAUGCACGUCUUGACGGUACCUAAUCAGAAAGCCACGGCUAACUACGUG